Molecule: small nucleolar RNA, 131 nt
Organism: Erinaceus europaeus (western European hedgehog)
Lineage: Eukaryota; Metazoa; Chordata; Mammalia; Eulipotyphla; Erinaceidae
Source: Ensembl
CCUGCCCGUAGAGGCAUUACAGAUGUAGCUGCUGCAUCACAUGUGUGUCCUUAGGUGGCAGAGAGAAGAUAGGCUUGUCUACAUCCAGUGCUCUGACUUGGGAGCCACUGGGGGACUCACAGUCUGACACU